ACUCCUACGGGAGGCAGCAGUGGGGAAUAUUGGACAAUGGGGGCAACCCUGAUCCAGCCAUACCGCGUGUGUGAAGAAGGCCUUAGGGUUGUAAAGCACUUUCAGUGGGGAGGAAAAGUUGUCGGCGAAUACCCGGCGACCGUGACGCUACCUGCAGAAGAAGCACCGGCUAACUACGUGCCAGCAGCCGCGGUAAUACGUAGGGUGCGAGCGUUAAUCGGAAUUACUGGGCGUAAGGCGUGCGCAGGCGGCGACAUAAGACAGAUGUGAAAUCCCCGGGCUCAACCUGGGAACUGCGUUUGUGACUGUGUUGCUAGAGUGUAGCAGAGGGGGGUGGAAUUCCACGUGUAGCAGUGAAAUGCGUAGAGAUGUGGAGGAACACCGAUGGCGAAGGCAGCCCCCUGGGUUAACACUGACGCUCAUGCACGAAAGCGUGGGGAGCAAACAGGAUUAGAUACCCUGGUAGUCCACGCCCUAAACGAUGCCAACUAGGUGUUGGGGAAGGAGACUUCCUUAGUACCGUAGCUAACGCGUGAAGUUGGCCGCCUGGGGAGUACGGUCGCAAGAUUAAAACUCAAAGGGAAUUGACGGGG
RNAcentral lists this ribosomal RNA (593 nucleotides) under uncultured bacterium. RNAcentral's name for it is "bacterial SSU rRNA". It matches the Rfam family "Bacterial small subunit ribosomal RNA", at positions 335 to 918 of the family's 1533-position model. The record is from RNAcentral.